UGCCAGCCGCCGCGGUAAUACCAGCACCUCAAGUGGUCAGGAUGAUUAUUGGGCCUAAAGCAUCCGUAGCCGGCUCUGUAAGUUUUCGGUUAAAUCUGUAUGCUCAACAUACAGGCUGCCGGGAAUACUGCAGAGCUAGGGAGUGGGAGAGGUAGACGGUACUCGGUAGGAAGGGGUAAAAUCCUUUGAUCUAUUGAUGACCACCUGUGGCGAAGGCGGUCUACCAGAACACGUCCGACGGUGAGGGAUGAAGGCUAGGGGCGCAAAACGGAUUAGAUA
This 279-nucleotide ribosomal RNA is filed under the name uncultured bacterium. RNAcentral describes it as "partial 16S ribosomal RNA". It matches the Rfam family "Archaeal small subunit ribosomal RNA", at positions 456 to 735 of the family's 1478-position model. The record is from RNAcentral.